RNAcentral lists this ribosomal RNA (303 nucleotides) under uncultured bacterium. RNAcentral describes it as "bacterial SSU rRNA". It matches the Rfam family "Bacterial small subunit ribosomal RNA", at positions 29 to 327 of the family's 1533-position model. The record is from RNAcentral.
AUUGAACGCUGGCGGCAUGCCUUACACAUGCAAGUCGAACGGUAACGCGGGGCAACCUGGCGACGAGUGGCGAACGGGUGAGUAAUAUAUCGGAACGUGCCCAGUAGUGGGGGAGUAGCCCGGCCGAAGACCGGACUUAAUACCGCAUACGACCUGAGGGUGGAAAGACGGGGGAGUCGCAAGACCUCGCGCUACUGGAGGCGGCCGAUAUCAGAUUAGGUAGUUGGUGGGGUAAGGAGCCUACCAAGCCGACGAUCUGUAGCUGGUCUGAGAGGACGACCAGCCACACUGGGACUGAGACAC